RNAcentral lists this ribosomal RNA (537 nucleotides) under Triticum aestivum (bread wheat). Its description in RNAcentral is "partial small subunit ribosomal RNA". The record is from RNAcentral. Lineage: Eukaryota; Viridiplantae; Streptophyta; Magnoliopsida; Poales; Poaceae.
AUGCAAGCUAACAAGCUUUGUAUACCCGAGUCUUCUCUUCAUUUGUUGCUUCUGCAAGAGGCUUACGGCGGAGGACUUAUGAUAAACUUUGGACGCAACAAGAUGUACGUAACGCUCUCCAACAACUACAUUUGGGCCAAGAUGUUCUGUGACGUCUCACGCUACACCAACCGAUGCUCUACAUGUCACAAAGCUAAGUCUAAAGCUCAAUCCCAUGGUCUAUAUAUGCCACUUCCUAUUCCGUAUCACCCAUGGGAAGAUAUUAGUAUGGACUUUGUGCUUGGUUUGCCUAGAACUCAAAAUGGAAAAGAUUCGGUAUUUGUUGUUGUGGACUGUUUCUCUAAGAUGGCACAUUUCAUUCCGUGCAACAAGAUAGAUGAUGCUUCACAUGUUGCAAAUCUCUUUUGCAGGGAAAUCUUAGGAUUGCAUGGAGUGCCCAAGACUAUUGUGUCGGACCGCGACGUCAAGUUCCUUAGCUACUUUUGGAAGACACUAUGUGCCAAGCUCGGAAUCAAACUGCCCUUCUCAUCGGCAUAA